AGUGAACGCUGGCGGUAGGCCUAACACAUGCAAGUCGAACGGCAGCACAGUAAGAGCUUGCUCUUACGGGUGGCGAGUGGCGGACGGGUGAGGAAUACAUCGGCAUCUACUUUUUCGUGGGGGAUAACGUAGGGAAACUUACGAUAAUACCGCAUACGACCUACGGCUGAAAGCAGGGGAUAUUCGGACCUUGCGCGAUUCAAUGAGCCGAUGUCGGAUUAGCUAGUUGGCGGGGUAAAGGCCCACCAAGGCGACGAUCCGUAGCUGGUCUGAGAGGAUGAUCAGCCACACUGGAACUGAGACACGGUCCAGACUCCUACGGGAGGCAGCAGUGGGGAAUAUUGGACAAUGGGCGCAAGCCUGAUCCAGCCAUGCCGCGUGAGUGAAGAAGGCCUUCGGGUCGUAAAGCUCUGUUGUUGGGAAAGAAAAGCAGUAGGUUUAAACCCCGCUGUUCUGACGGUACCCAAAGAAUAAGCACCGGCUAACUUCGUG
RNAcentral lists this ribosomal RNA (492 nucleotides) under uncultured bacterium. Its description in RNAcentral is "partial 16S ribosomal RNA". It matches the Rfam family "Bacterial small subunit ribosomal RNA", at positions 29 to 507 of the family's 1533-position model. The record is from RNAcentral.